GAUGAAGAACGUAUCGAAAUGCGAUAAGUAAUGUGAAUUGCAGAAUUCAGUGAAUCAUCGAAUCUUUGAACGCACAUUGCGCCCCUUGGUAUUCCGGGGGGCAUGCCUGUUCGAGCGUCAUUAUAACCCCUCAAGCUCAGCUUGGUGUUGGGGCCUGCCGACUGGCAGCCCUUAAAAUCAGUGGCGGCGCCAUCUGGCUCUAAGCGUAGUAAUUUCUCUCGCUAUAGAGUCCCGGUGGAUGCUUGCCAGCAACCCCCAACUUUCUAUGGUUGACCUCGGAUCAGGUAGGGAUACCCGCUGAACUUAAGCAUAUCAAUAAGCGGAGGA
RNAcentral lists this unclassified non-coding RNA (327 nucleotides) under soil metagenome. RNAcentral describes it as "partial contains 5.8S ribosomal RNA, internal transcribed spacer 2, and large subunit ribosomal RNA". The stretch from base 1 to 120 matches the Rfam family "5.8S ribosomal RNA", at positions 35 to 154 of the family's 154-position model. The record is from RNAcentral.